Molecule: long non-coding RNA, 13272 nt
Organism: Pan troglodytes (chimpanzee)
Lineage: Eukaryota; Metazoa; Chordata; Mammalia; Primates; Hominidae
Exons: 2
Source: RefSeq, a predicted model, not a curated record
GGCGUGAGCCACAACACCUGGCCUUAAACAUACUUUCAACUACUCCUCUUAAUUUUAAUUUUACCUUAUCCCCAAUUCCAAACGUACAAGUAGACACUAAUUCAUGCUCUUUUAGAGGUUCUGCAGUGCAGAUUGCUUUCACCCCACCAAUCAGUUAGUACCAUUUCUGUGUCUAGUUAACUCUGGUCGAACGAUUUCUAGCUUCCAAAAUAUUGUGGUUUCUGUCUUCUGUUUUGUUUUCGUCUUGUUGGUCUUAUGUCCUUAAAAAUUUCAUGGACUUCAUUUUAAUGAAUUUUGAGAGAGAGACGUAGCUAGUGCAUAUGAUUAAUUCAUUCUCUCUAAACUAGAAGUUUAUUUUCAUUUCUAUCUGCACUGUGAAGUUAAGUUUUUUUAUUCGAAUUUUUUUUAAGGAGAAUAAGGUUUAACAAAUGUUUCCUGUUUCUGAAAGGGCUAAUCAAGGCAUAAGUCACACUUGAGUGAAAUGUUACUUUUGGAGAGAAAUGAACACAGAAGCAUACUUGCAUUAUUUAUAAUGGUUUGUCUCUCUUGUGAUCACUUAAAGUUAUAUGAACAUAUCUUGUAUUGUUUUCAUCUUUUAAAUUAAUCACUGGAACAUUAUUAUAAGCUUUAUACAAGUGAUGGCUAUUAAUUUCAUUUUUAAAGCUUUAACAAUAAUAAUACAUAGUAAUAUUUAUUUUUUACAUACUCUAUCCCGGGCACUGUACUAAACAUUGUACAUAUACUAUCUCAUAUUGAGAGGUGACAGCGUGCUGGCAGUCCUCGCAGCCCUCGCUCACUCUCAGCGCCUCCUCUGCCUGGGCUCCCACUUUGGCGGCACUUGAGGAGCCCUUCAGCUCGCCACUGCACUGUGGGAGCCCCCUCCUGGGCUGGCCAAGGCCGCAGCCGGCUCCCUCAGCUUGCACGGAGGUGUGGAGGGAGAGGCGCGGGCGGGAACAGGGGCUGCGCACGGUGCUUGCGGGCCAGCACGAGUUCCGGGUGGGCGUGGGCUCUGCGGACCCUGCACUCAGAGAGGCCGGCAGGCCCCACCGGCCCGGGCAGUGAGGGGCUUAGCACCUGGGCCAGCAGCUGCUGUGCUCAAUUUCUCGCCUGGCCUUAGCUGCCUUCACGUAGGACAUGGCUCGGGACCUGUAGCCGGCCAUGCCUGCGCCUCCCCCACCAUCCGUGGGCUCCUGUGCAGCCCCAGCCUCCCCGAGGAGCGCAGCCCCCUGCUCCACGGCGCCCAGUCCCAUCGACCACCCAAGGGCUGAGGAGUGUGGGCGCACGGCGCUGGAGUGGCAGGCAGCUCCACCUGCAGCCCUGGUGGGGGACCCACUGGGUGAAGCCAGCUGGGCACCUGAGUCUGGUGGGGACUGGAGAACCUUUAUGUCUACCUAAGGGAUUGUAGUUACACCAAUCGGCACUCUGUAUCUAGCUCAAGUUUUGUAAACACACCAAUCUGCACCCUGUGUCUAGCUCAGGGUUUGUGAAUGCACCAAUUGACACUCUAUCUAGCUACUCUGGUGGGGCCUUGGAGAACCUUUAUGUCUAGCUCAGGGAUUGUAAAUACACCAAUCGGCACUCUGUAUCUAGCUCAAGGUUUGUAAACACACCAAUCAGCACCCUGUGUCUAGCUCAGGGUUUGUGAAUGCACCAAUCGACACUCUAUCUAGCUACUCUGGUGGGGCCUUGGAGAACCUUUAUGUCUAGCUCAGGGAUUGUAAAUACACCAAUUGGCACUCUGUAUCUAGCUCAAGGUUUGCAAACAUACCAAUCAGCACCCUGUGUCUAGCUCAGGGUUUGUGAAUGCACCAAUCGACACUCUGUAUCUAGCUACUCCAGUGGGGACUUGGAGAACCUUUGUGUCCACAGUCUGUAUCUAGCUAAUCUGGUGGGGAGGUGGAGAACCUUUGUGUCUAGCUCAGGGAUUGUAAAGGCACCAAUCAGCGCCCUGUCAAAACAGACCACUGGGCUCUACCAGUCAGCAGGAUGUGGGUGGGGCCAGAUAAGAGAAUAAAAGCAGGCUGCCCGAGCCAGCAGUAGCAACCCGCUCUGGUCCCCUUCCACACUCUGGAAGCUUUCUUCUUUCUCUCUUUGCAAUAAGUCUUGCUGCUGCUCACUCUUUGGGUCCACACUUCCUUUAUGAGCUGUAACACUCACCGCGAAGGUCUGCAGCUUCACUCCUGAGCCAGCGAGACCACAAACCCACCAGAAGGAAGAAACUCCGAACACAUCUGAACAUCAGAAGGAACAAACUCCAGACGCGCGGCCUUUAAGAACUGUAACACUCACGGCGAGGGUCUGCAGCUUCAUUCUUAAAGUCAGUGAGACCAAGCACCCACCAAUUCCGGACACGAUAUGUGAGAUAAGUACUUUAAAAAUACUAUUAGAGGUGAGGAAGCUGAGGCUUAAAUCUCUGGUGUAACAUGCUAGGAAAGAAAUGGUGAACUUAGGCAUUUGUAUUUGCUUUUCUGAUUCCAAGGCCUGGUCUCCUAACAAUACUCUGUACUAUACUUGGAGAGACCCUAGUUUGAUUGAUUUAUAGACAGGCCAGGUUGGCUAAACCUGCCAUAGCAUGAAUUGUUUGUCUAUGUGUUUAUAUAUUGUGCAUGGGUGUGUAGGUGGUAUUAAUAUGUAUCUAUAUUUUAAACACUUAUAAGUAAUUAAAUAAGUUUUUCCUGCUUGCAGAUUGUCUGUCCUUAUUGAAGCUAGAGUAAGCCAGAUUGAAGGACAGAAGAUUAUCAAUAAUUAACACCAUUAACUUUAUGAGAACUGGGAUGCCAGUUUUAGAGGUCAACUCCAAUAUGGACUUUCCAGUGUAAAAAAAAGUAAAGCACAGAUUCCAUGCCUCUAACUUAGAGUAUUUUGCCAAAUGCAAGAGAAAAAAAAAUAGCUCCUUACUUUAAAAGAAAGUUUCUAUUUUAAGUGGUCUUUGUGAAAUUCCUCAUUACAAUUGUUUUUUGUUUGUUUGUUUCUAUAUCUGAGAAGGGCUGAUUGCAAUCUCAGAGAGCGGGUGUAGGUGAAAAGAUGGUACACACAAUCUAACAUUCUUUCCAGGUUAAUUUUCUUCUCCGUCUCUUACCCACUUCACUGAAGUGAUUAACCGAAAGAGCUUUCAAGUCAAAGGAGAACCUAUUACAAAGUCCCUUGGAGGUUUAGGGGGAAGAGUUCAUGGGCUGUGGGCUUGGAAUGUUCCAGGAACAGUGAGAAGGCUAUGAUGUGUAGAGUGCAGAGGGCACAGGGAGGGCAACUGCAGACAAAGCUGGAGAGUCUGGCAGGAUGGCUUCUGUAUGGGACUGCAGCCAUGCCAGGAGUCACAAUACAGAGCUGAUGAGGAGGCCUUGAGUCACAAAGGGUGGGGGACUUCCAUGUGGUCUGGAAUUCAGCGUCUAUUAGUUUAUCCCCAGGGAAUCAAAAGGGAAUGAUUUGGACCUGAGUUUCUAGCAGUUUUGUGAGUGGUGUUUAGAAGGUCAGAGGAGUGUUGUUUUGUUAUUUUACAGGGACAUGCCUGUAUUCCUGACUGGUCUGGCAGGAUAUCUUGAAUGUCAUUUAUGAACACGUGCACAGGGAUACUGUAAAUCUUAUAUGCAAAACACAGCCUCUAUUCAGAGAGCUUUUCCUGGACGUAUAAACCAUCAGUGCUAACAGCACUGAAUUGAACAAGUCCUGCUUAAGUAGGAACUAGUUGAGCUGCCUUUAUUUGGUUUUCCAAGGUAUCAAAAUAAAGUUCUUCAAACAGGAAUGGCUACUAAAUAGCAUUUAAAGGCUCCGUAUUUUAUGUUUCAAAUCAACAAACAUUUAUAAAAGUAGCUGCUGGAGAUGCAGAGAUAAAUAUGACAGGAUUCCUGCCCUUGGAGAGUCCACAGUUUAACAAUGAGAGAGAGAGGUGGGCAAACAGUUAUUCUACAAUAAAGCAUGGUAGCUUCUCCAGUAGGAGUAUGAUUCCACUUUUUCUAUGGGGGCCACAGGUUGUUGUUGAAGAUGCUUUUUAACCUGUGAAAUGUGUGAGUUGUAGUCGAUGAUGAUAAUACUAAUAGCUGUCAUUAUCAGGAAUUAUGCUAGAUGUUUUCUCAAAUUAUACAAAACAGCAACCUUGAACUUGUCUUAGUCUCCUCCCUCUGUGCCACGUCUAACAGUCAUUAAAGUUAAUAUUUUCAUUGCUUUAACAUUUGUAACUCUCUCCAUCUCUGAUGCUGCUAUAGCCUUAUUUCAGACUUUCAUGAUCUUUAAAUGCCACAUUGCAAUACUCAUCUAUCGUGUGUUUUCCUGGCUUUAAUCUCUACCAAUUUAACAUAUUAUUGCUCUCAGAGUAAUCUUCCUAGAGUAGAAAUUUGAUCAUGACACUCCUUGAUUGAAAACCUUUUAUUUCUCAUUGUUAUAGACCUUGGUAGGGAAUACCAAGUCUGGACCCAGUUUGUAUAAAGCACCUUGUCUCUGGCCACACCCUUUCUCACUCUUAUUUCAUCCUUGCUCAGUCGCUUACAUUUCCCCUUACAUGGUGAUAUAGUUUGUCUGUCACCUCCAAAGCUCGUGUAGAAAUGUAUCCCCAGUGUUGGAGGGUGAGCCUAGUGGGAGGUGUUUGGAUCAUGGGGGCAAUCCCUCAUGAAUGGCUUGGUGCCCUCCCUGUGGUAAUGAGUACAAGAUCUUAUUGUUUAAAAGGGACUAGCAUCUCCACCUCUCUCUCUUCCUCCCUCUCUCACCAUGUGACACAACUGACUCCCCCUUUGCCUUCUGCCAUGAUUGUAAGUUUCCUGAAGCCCUCACCAGAAGUGGGUGCUGGCACCAUACUUCUUGCACAGCCCGAAGAACCAUGAGCCAAAAUUUAAACCUUUUUUCUUUACAUAUUAUGCAGUCUCAGACACUGCCUUAUAGCAAUGCAAAUGGACUAACACAGGAAAUUGAUACUAAGGAGUGACGUGUGGUUAUAAAGAUAACUGAAAAUGUGGAAGCAGCUUUGAAACUGGGUAAUAGGCAGAUGUUAGAAGAGUUCAGAGAACUCAGAAGAAGACAGGAAAAUGAAGGAAAGUUUGGACCUUCCUAGAGACUUAAGUUGUUGUGACUAAAAUGCCAAUAGAAAUAUGGACAAUGAAGACCAGGUUAAUGAAGUCUCAAAUAGAAAUGAGGAAGUUAUUGGGAAUUAGAGUAAAGAUCACCCAUGUUAUGCCCUAGAAAAGAACUUGGCUGCACUGUGUCCAUGCCGUAGGGAUCUGCGGAAGGUUGAACUUAAGAGUGAUGACCUAGGAUAUCUGGCAGAAUGUAUUUCUAAGCAACUAAGUGUUCAAGAAGUGGUAUGGCUACUUCUAACAGCUUGUGAUCAGAUACAGGAGCAAAGAAAUGACUUAAUGUUGGAACUUACAUUUAAACAGGAAGCAGAGCAUAAAAGUUUGGAAAAUUUGCAGCCUGGCCAUGUAGUAGAGAAGGAAAGAGCAUUUUCAGGUGAGGAAUUCAAGAGGGCUUUGGAGCAAGCACUUGCCAGAGAUAUUUGCGUGACUAAAAGGGAGCCAAGUGCUAAUAGUUAAGACAGUGGGAAAAAGACCUCAAAGGCAUUUCAGAAGUCUUCAGGGAAGCCCCUCCCAUCACAGACCCGGAGGCCUAGAAUGGAAGAAUGGUUUCAAAGGUCAAUCCCAGGAAGCUACUGCCCUGUAUGGCCUUGGGACACUGUUCCCUGUAUCCUGGAUGCUCUGACUCCAGCCAGAACUCAAAGGGUCACAGGUAAAGCUCAGACUGUGGCUUCAGAGGGUGCAAGCUGUAAGCCUUGGUGGCAUCCAUGUGGUGUUAAACCUGCAGAUGUGUGAAAUGCAAGAGUGAAGGAAACCUGGCAGCUCCCACCUAGAUUUCAAAGAAUGUAUAGGAAUGCCUGGAUGCCCAGGAAGAAGCCUGCUGCAUGGGCAGAGCCCCAACAGAAAGCCUUUACUAGGGAAGCACCAAGGGGAAAUGUAGGGUUAAAUCCCCCACACAGACUCCCCACUGGGACACUGCCCAGUGGAGCUGUGGGAAUAGGACCACCACCCUCCAGACCCCAGAAUAGUAGAGCCAUCAGUAGCUUGCACCCUGAGCCUGGAAAUGCUGCAGGCCUUCAACUCCAACCUGUGAGAGCAGCCACAGAGGCCACACCCUACAAAGCCACAGGGGUAGAGAUGCCCAAGGCCUUGGGAGCCCAUUCCUUGCACCAGUGUGCCCUGGAUGCAGGACUUGGAGUCACAGGAAAUUAUGUUGGAGCUUUAAGGUUUAAUGUUUGCUCUGCCGGGUUUCAGACAUGUGUGGGGCCUGUUGCUCUUUCUUUUGGCCUAUUUUUACCUUUUGGAAUGGAAACCUUUGCCCAAUGCCUAUACCACCAUUGUUUCUUGGAAGUAAAUAACUUGGUUUUGAUUUUAUAGGCUCAUAGGUGGAAGGAAAGUGCCUUGAGUCUCAGAUGAGAUUUGGACUUUUGAGUCAAUGCCGAAAUGAGUUAAGACUUUUGAGGAAUAUUGGGAAAGGAUGAUUGUAUUUUGCAAUGUGAGAAGGACAUGAGAUUUGAGAGACCAGCAGUAGAAUGAUAUAGUUUAGAUAUUUGUCCUUUCCAGAUCUCAUGUUGAAAUGUAAUCCCCUGGUGUGAGGUGUUCUGGUCAUGGGGCAGAUCCCUCAUGAAUGGCUUGGUGCCCUCCCUGCAAUAAUGAGUUCAUGCAAGAUCUGGUUGUUUAAAAGAGACUGGCACAUCCACCUCUAUCUCUUUACUCUGUCUCUCACCAUGUGACACAUUGGCUCCCCCUUGCCUUCUGCCAUGAUUGUAAGCUUCCUGAGGCCCUAACCAGAAGCAAAUGCCAGCAUGCUUCCUGUACAGCUGACAGAAUCAUAAGCCCAAAUUUAAACCUCUUUUCUUCAUAGAUUGCCCAGUCUCAGAUAUUCCUUUUAGCUACACAGACUAACACAUGGUAUAUUAUUUCACUUUCUUUUUUUUUUUUUUUUUUGAGACGGAGUCUCUCUCUGUCACCAGGCUGGAAUGCCAUGGCACGAUCUUGGCUCACUGCAACCUCCGACUCCCUGGUUCAAGCUAUUCUCCUGCCUCAGCCUCCUGAGUAGCUAGGAUUACAGGCAUGUGCCACCAUGCCCAGCUAAUUUUUGUAUUUUUAGUAGAGAUUGGGUUUCACCCUGUUGGCCAGGAUGGUCUUGAUCUCCUGACCUUAUGAUCCACCCACCUCAGCCUCCCAAAGUGCGGGGAUUACAGGCGUGGGCCACCAUGUCCAGCUGGUUGCUAUAACUUAUUAUAUCAUACUUUCAUGUUUGGAUCAGAUUACUGGUGCAUUUAUCAGAAAUGCCCAUCCCACCUCCUUGCCCACUGCCAUGAACCUGGGAAGCACCUCAGCUUUCAAUAUCUAGCUCAAGAGUCCCUUCUUGUAUGUGGCCUUUUUGAAGGUUAAUAAAAAUGUAACUGUGAAUAAAUAAUGUCUGCUAUGAAAAAUUUCAAAAAUUACCACAACUAAUAUCAAAGUAGACUUCAGAAUAAGGAAUAUUACCAGAGACAAAUAUGGAUAUUAAAUAAAGAUAAAUAGUUCAAUUGACCAAGAUACAUAACAAAUGUGAAAUCCUAGAUAUGAAUAAACCUAACAAAUGACCUUCAAAAUACGUGAAGAUUGACAGAAUUGAAAGGAUAACUAUAAAUUCAUAAUUAUAGGCAGAACCUUUAAUACUCUGCUUUCAGAACUGAUGGAAAAAGAGUAGAAAGGAAGUCAGUAGAGAUAUGUAGAAGACUUGACAUGUAUACCUAUGUAACAAAUCUGCAUGUUCUGCACAUGUAUCCCAGAACUUAAAGUAAAAUUUAAAAAGAGAAACAAAUAAACAAAAGACAAAACCACUAUGAACCAACUGUACCUAAUUGAAACUUUUUACUUUUUUAGAGAUAGAAUCUCAUCCUGUUGCCUGGGCUGGAAUGCAGUGGUGUGAUCAUAGCUCACUAUAACUUCAAACUCCUGGGCUCAAGGAAUCCUUCUGCCUCGGCCUCCCAAGUAGCUGGGACUACAGGUGUGUGCCACCAAGAUGGGCUAAUUUUUAAAAACUGUAGAGAUAAGGUCUAGCUUUGUUGCCAAGGUUGGUCUUGAACUCUUGGCUUUAAGCAAUCCUCCUGCCUUGACCUCUCAAACUGCUGGGAUUACAGGUACAAGCUGCCUCAUCAGCCCUGAUUGAAAAUUUUAAAAUAGUCCAUCAACAAGAGCAGAAUACACAUUAUUUUCAAGUGCACAAGGAACACAUACCAAGAUAGACCACAUUCUGGGCCAUAAAACAAACUUUAGCAAAUUUAAAAGAACUGAAGUCAUGCAAAGUAUGUUCUCUGAUCGCAAAAAAAUUAGACUAGAAAUUAUUGGCCAGGUGCAGUGGCUCACGCCUGUAAUCCCAGCCCUUUGGGAGGCCAAGGCGGGUGGAUCGCGAGGUCAGGAGUUCAAGACCAGCCUGGCCAAGAUGGUGAAACCCUGUCUCUACUAAAAAUACAAAAAACUAGCUGGGUGUGGUGGUGGUCGCCUGUAAUCCCAGCUACUUGGGAAGCUGAGGCAGAGAAUUGGUUGAACCUGGGAGGUGGAGGUUGCAGUGAGCCAAGGUUGCACCACUGCACUCCAGCCUUGGCGACAGAGCCAGACUCUGUCUCAAAAAAAAAAAAAAAAGAAAAAAAAAGAAAAAGAAAUUAUUUACCGAAAGGUACCUGAAAAAUCCACCCAGAUUUUGGAAACUAAGUAACAAAUUUCUAAAUAAUUCAUGGGUUAAAGGGAAAUUAGAUUAAAUUUUGAACUAAAGAAAAAUGAAAGUUCAACAUAUGAAAAUUUGUAGGGUGAAACUAAAGCAGUGCUUAGAGGAAAAUUUAUAUCAUUACAUAAAUAUAUUUUACAAAAAAUAAAGGUCUCAAAUUAAUGUUACAAGUUUCUGUCUUAAAAAAUUAGAAAAUAAAGAGCAAAGUAAGUCCAAAGUAAGCAAAAGAAUGCAAGAGAACGAGAACAACCAAAAAUAAUUUUGAAAUUGAACAAAGUUAAAGGACUUCUUAUUACCUGAUUUCAAUAUCUACCAUACAUGUUGUAACUGGCUGGGCACGGUGGCUCACGCCUGUAAUCCCAGCACUUUGGGAGGCCAAGGCGAGCGGAUCACUUGCAGUCAGGAGUUCAAAACCAGCCUGGCCAACAUGGUGAAAACCCCGUGUCUACUAAAAAUAGAAAAAUUAGCCAGGCAUGGUGGUGAUGCCUGUAAUCCCAGCUACUUGGCAGGCUGAGGCAGGAGAAUCACUUAAGCCUGGGAGGUGGAGGUUGCAGUGAGCCGAGAUCACACCACUGCACUCCAGCCUGGGUGACAGAGCGAGACUCCAUCUCAAAACACAAAAACAAAAACAAAAACGUUAUAGUAACCAAGACAGUAUAGUAUUCACAAAAGAAUAGACACAUAGGCCUGGUGCAGUGGUUCAUGCCUUUAAUCCAAGCACUUUGGGAGGCCGAGGCAGCAGAAUCACCUUGAGGCCAGGAGUUUGAGACCAGUGUGGACAAUAUAAAGAGAUCCUGUCUUUACAAAAAUUAGCUGGGCAUAGUGGUGCAUGCCUGCAGCCCAGUUACUUGGGAGGCUGAGGUGGGAGGAUCACUUGAGCCCAGGAAUUUGAAGCUGCAGUGAACCACGAUCACACCACUAUACUCCAGCCUGGGUGACAGAGUAAGACCUUGUCUCCUAGGAAAAAAAAAAAAAAAAAGACACGUAAAUAAAUGGAACACAACAGAGAGUCUAGAAAUGUACUCACUUUUGUGGCCAAGUAAUUUUUGACAAAGGUGCAAAGAAAAUUCAAUGGAGAAAGGAUAGUCUUUUCAAAAAGUGGUACUGGAAUGAUCGGGCAUCCACAUGCAGGAAAAUAAACCUCAACUUAUACCUGACGCUUUACACGAAAAAUUAGCUCAAAAAGAAUGUUACCUAGGUAUUAAAAUUAUGAAACCUUUAGAACAAAGCAUAAGAAAUAAUCUUUAUGACCUUGUGUUAGGCAAAGAUUCCUUGCAUAUAACACAGAAGCACUAUUUAUUCAAGAAAAAAAUGGAUAAAUUGCACUUCUUUCAAAUUAAAAAUGUUUGCUCUGCAAAAGACAGUGUUAAAAAAAUGGACAAGCCACAGAUUGAGAGAAAAUGGUUGCAAAUCACAUAUUUUGACAAAAGUACAUAAAAGACUCUUAAGACUCAACAAGAAGAAACAAACAACUGAAUUGAACAAUGGGCAAUUUGAACACUUUAUCAAAGAAGAUAAAUGCAUGGCAAAAAGAACAUGAAAAAAUACUCAGCAUUGUUAGUCAUUAGGGAAAUGUAGAUUUAAAAAUCACACUGAUUUAUUUCUCUGCACACCUAUUAGGAUGGCUAAAAAACAAACACACAAAAAGUGACAAUAACAAGAGCUAGCAAGGAUGCACGAUAACUAAAACUGUUUUUGUUUUUUCAGAUUUUUUUUCUGCAAACACCAUGGUGACUUACAGAACUUUACAUGCUGAUGAUGGGAAUAAAAAAAAAAUGGCACAACCACAACAGAAAAGUUUAGGAGUUCCUUAAUUUCAGUCCCAGGUAUUUACCCAAGAGAAAUGAAAAACAUGCUCACACAAAAAUAUGUAUGUGGAUUUCUGAACAUUAAAUUAUAAAGAUGAAUAAAGUUAUAGGGACUUUAUUCAUAAUCACUCAAAACUGAAAAUAUUCCAAAUAGUGAAUAGAUAAAUAAACUGGUGAAUAGCUAAGCAAAUUGUGGUAUGUCCAUACAAUGGCAUACUUUUGAGGAACAGAAAAGGAACAAGCUACUCAUACAUGCAGAUACAUGAAUUUAUCAGAUGAAUUAUGCCAAAUGAAAGAAACCAGAUUUAAAAAGCUAUAUUCUGUAUGAUUCCUUUAUAUGACAUUCUGAAAAAUUCAGAACUAUAGGGAUAGAAAACAGAUCAGUGAUUCCCUGUGGCUGUUCGUUGGGGGAGGAGAUUUUUACUACAAUGGGAUUUAAGAAAACUUUUGGGGUGACGGAUAUUGGGGUGAUUGGAGCACUUAUUAUACCAAGGUAUUCAUUUGCCAAAAGUUAUGGAAUUGUGUACUUAAAAGGAGUGAAUUUCCACCUCAUACCUGUUAGGAUUCCCACUAUCCAACAACAACAUCAUCAUCAUCAACAACAACAACCACAACAAACCCCGAAAACAGCAAGUGGAUAUGGAGAAAUUGGAUCCCUGGUGCACUGUUGGUGGGAACACAGAAUGGAGCAGCUGCUAUGGAAAACAGUAUGGAGAUUCCUAAAAAAUUAAAAAUAUAAUUACCGUAUAAUCUCAUAACCCCACUUCUGGGUAGAUAUCCAAAAGAAUUAAAAGCAGGAUCUCGAAGACAUCUUUGCAUACUCAUGUUCUUUGCAGCAUUACUUAUAACAACCAAGAGGUGGAAGCAACCUGAAUGUCCACGGACUGAUGAAUGGAUGCAGAAAAUGUGGUAUAUACAUAUGAUGGACUAUUAUUCAGCCUUAGAAAGAAAGAAGUCUUGUCACAUGCUACAACUUAGAUGAACCUUGAGGACAUUAUACAAAGUGAAAUGAGCUAGUCAUAAAAAAGACAAAUAUUGCAGGAUUCUACUUGUAUGAGUGCCGCCACGCUGGGAUUUUGUAAUUAUGAGCUUCAAAAGCAGAGACAACAUCUUCUAUUUCUGUGUCUCUUCCUACGGUGAAUAAUAUAGUCCUUGCCGUUUCAAUGUUAACAAAAGAAAAGUAAAAGAAAAAUGCUGCAAUAGCUGAGAGGGUUUAGAGUAAAUGGGGUUUGGAGAGGGUCAGGUAUUUUCCACAGCCAAACCAGAGUGGAUGUUGUCCCUUUAACUGUGGUGUCCUGGCUGAAGGCCAAAACUUAAUUGUUGAUGACCCUUCCUUUUCUUUUUUUUUUUUUUUCUGAGAUGGAGUCUCACUCCGUCCCACAGGCUGGAGUGCAAUGGUGUGAUCUCGGCUCACUGAAACCUCCGCCUCCCAAGUUCAAGCAAUUCUCCUGAGCCUCCUGAGUAGCUGGGACUACAGGCACAUACCACCAUGCCUGGCUAAUUUUUGUAUUUUUAGUAGAGACGGGGUUUCACCAUGUUGAUCAGGCUGGUCUCGAACUCCUGACCUCGUGAUCCGCCCUCGUUGGCCUCCCAAAGUGUUGAGAUUAUACGCGUGAGCCACCAUGCCUAGCCUGACCCUUCCUUUUCUGCUAGCCACUGUUAUGUACAGUGGGUUCGCAAAAAAGUUCAUUAAUGUCCUUAAGAAGUCAGAUGGGAUGGCUCUGGUGGCUCAGUGCCCACAGACCAGCGAAAGACAGAAUGUCCAGGCUGUACUGUAGGUGGCUGACACCCCAUCUUCUUGGUCACCUCCUGGAGGCCACACUUUAUGUAUCUGGAUUCUGUUUCUUUUUAAAAUUAUCCUAUUUUAUUAGUUUAUUAAUUUUAAAUUUUUGUAGGUACAUAGCAGGUGUGUAUAUAUUUAUGGGGUACAUGAGAUGUUUUGAUACAGGUAUGCAAUGUGAAAUAACCACAUCAUGGAGAAUGGGGUGGUAUCCAUCCCUUCGAGCAUUUAUCCUUUGUGUCAUGAACAAUCCAAUUACAUUAUUUUAAAAUAUACAAUGAAGUCAUUAUUGCCUAUAGUCACCCCGUUGUGCUAUCAAAUAGUAGGUGUUAUUCAUUAUUUCUAACUAGCUUUUUUUGUCCCCAUUAACCAUCCUCACCACCUGCCCCACCCUCCCACAACACUUCUCAGUCUCUGGUAACCAUCUUCUACUCUCUAUCUCCCUGAGUUCAAUUGUUUUGAUUUUUAGAUCCCACAAAUAAAUGAGAACAUGUGAUGUUUGUCUUUCUGUGUCUGGCUUAUUUCACUUAACAUAAUGACCUCCAGUUCUAUCCAUGUUGUUGCAAAUGACAGGAUGUUAUUCUUUUUUAUGGCCGAAUAGUACUCUGCUGUGUAGAUGUUCCACAUUUUCUUUAUCCAUUCAUCUAUUGAUGGACACUUACGUUGCUUCCAUAUCUUAGCUAUUGUAAACAGUGGUGCAGCAAAUAUGGGAGUGUAAAUGUAUUUUUGAUGUACUUAUUUCCUUUCUUUGGUGUGUAUACCCAGCAGUGGGAUUGCUGGGUCAUAUGGUAGCCUGGAUUCUGUUUCUUAUUUGCCAGUGGAUGUUUUAAAGUAUACAUCCUAUUGCCCUGGGUCAACUUUCUCAAGGACGUCCCCUCAGUCUUCUUCAUUUUUACAUAUAUGUUCAUUAUUUCUAAAAUUAAAAUUAUAGAAAAGUAUAAAAAAGAAAAUAAAAAUUAUGUUUUCCAACAA